UACGUAGGGAGCGAGCGUUGUCCGGAAUUACUGGGUGUAAAGGGUGCGCAGGCGGGACAACAAGUCAGAUGUGAAACGUACGGGCUCAACCCGUGCCCUGCAUUUGAAACUGUAGUUCUUGAGUGAGGUAGAGGUAAGCGGAAUUCCUAGUGUAGCGGUGAAAUGCGUAGAUAUUAGGAGGAACAUCGGUGGCGAAGGCGGCUUACUGGGCCUUUACUGACGCUGAGGCACGAAAGCGUGGGGAGCAAAC
RNAcentral lists this ribosomal RNA (250 nucleotides) under uncultured prokaryote. RNAcentral's name for it is "partial 16S ribosomal RNA". It matches the Rfam family "Bacterial small subunit ribosomal RNA", at positions 524 to 773 of the family's 1533-position model. The record is from RNAcentral.